RNAcentral lists this transfer RNA (76 nucleotides) under Streptomyces gilvosporeus. RNAcentral describes it as "tRNA-Arg". It matches the Rfam family "tRNA". From Rfam's summary of the family: Transfer RNA (tRNA) molecules are approximately 80 nucleotides in length. Their secondary structure includes four short double-helical elements and three loops (D, anti-codon, and T loops). Further hydrogen bonds mediate the characteristic L-shaped molecular structure. tRNAs have two regions of fundamental functional importance: the anti-codon, which is responsible for specific mRNA codon recognition, and the 3' end, to which the tRNAs corresponding amino acid is attached (by aminoacyl-tRNA synthetases). tRNAs cope with the degeneracy of the genetic code in two manners: having more than one tRNA (with a specific anti-codon) for a particular amino acid; and 'wobble' base-pairing, i.e. permitting non-standard base-pairing at the 3rd anti-codon position. The record is from RNAcentral. Lineage: Bacteria; Bacillati; Actinomycetota; Actinomycetes; Kitasatosporales; Streptomycetaceae.
GCCUCCGUAGCUCAGGGGAUAGAGCACCGCUCUCCUAAAGCGGGUGUCGCAGGUUCGAAUCCUGCCGGGGGCACCC